RNAcentral lists this long non-coding RNA (1504 nucleotides) under Homo sapiens (human). RNAcentral describes it as "RAB3IP divergent transcript (RAB3IP-DT)". The record is from RNAcentral. Lineage: Eukaryota; Metazoa; Chordata; Mammalia; Primates; Hominidae.
AACUUCAAGCAUGUUGGGCUCUCCAGGAGGGAGAAGAGGCACCUUUGCCGUGGGUUGAGGACUCCUAGAACCAACCUGAGACUCCGCGGCCAUAUACACCUUACGACGUGUGUGUGUGUGGCGGGAGAUGGGAGGGGAGGAAUCCUGUAGAACCCAGAUCCCAUCAUUCCAGCAACUGCCAGAGCGUUCGAGAAUGUCAUGUCUGUACCUGUCUUCUCUCAUCUUUUGUGCCAACUGUUUUAUCAAACUUCUACCCCACUUUAGGUCUUCCAGAGUACAACACAAAUAUACUGCCCAGGUUCUAAAACAUGUAUAAGAGUUAACAAAAUCAGCUGAGGUUGAGCAGAAAUUGUAUAGGAAAAAAUAGGAAAAACACAGAGACCAAUCUCAGCUGCAAGAAGGUUCAGCUAGACACUGCAAGCAAAAGUAUAACUCCUGAAGAUACAGGAAAAGACCUUAACUGAGGGAUGGUUUCCUGCUGUGUCCUCGGAACCCCAGGGCCUGGUUCAUAGAGACAAGUAAGCAGUGACUGAAGAAAGUUGCAAAUGUGAAGACCUAGAAUUUACCAGUGAAUGACAAUUUGAAUGUGAGAAGCUUAGAAAAAGAGAAGAUGGUGGUCAGCAAGGGAAGAAGAAAAAUAAAAACAUGUGAAAAAAUGAGAGGAAUGGAUAUAGGCAGAGGACCAAAUGGCAUCAAACUCACAGCAAAUAGGCUAGAUUCACCUAUUUCAAAAGGAAAUUCUUUCUAGCAUAAAGAAAAGACAAAUAUUUAAGGUGAUGAAUAUCUCAACUACACUAAUUUGAUCUUUGACUCAAAUUAUAUGAAUGUAUUAAAUUAUUACCUAUACCCUGAAACUAUGCGCAUCUAUUAUGCAUCAAUAAAUAAUUAUUUAAAAAAAUAGAAAUGCUAGAACCGAAAAACUCAAUAAAGAAAUUAAAAAAGAAAAUCAAGCUACUGAAGAGAUCCCUGGGCUGUGAUGGAAACAAAUAAAAUGGCUUAUUUCUAAGGGCACUCAACUAUUGAGUAAGUCUGAGCCGAAAGGUAUAAAGUACCUUUGGCAAAUAAUAAUAAUAAUAACCACAAAAAUAAGCUUCUUAGAUAGCCUAUUGCUUUGUGGUUAUAAUAAUUAUACACUCCACUGGAUAGCAAGCAAUCUACUUAUCUACACGUGUAAGUUUGACUUGAAGUUUCUUCUAUUUUUCAUCUGCUGGAGUAACUCAAUUACUAGGCCAUCUGUAUUUGCAAAUCUGCAAAGUGAAUGUUGUCAUCCAGUAGCCUUGCCACAUGUGUCCUGAGUACUUUUUACAUUCUUUAGCUUCCUUGAUUCACUUCAGCCACCCUAGAAAUUACUGAGUUUCAAAUUAGAUUAAGUCUCCCUGAGAAGUGAAAUAAAUAUUGGAUGGAGAGAAGGAAAGAAGAUUCAGAUGGGUGGGGAUGAAGAAUGAGCCGUGUGAAGGAAGCAUGUUUGCUAAUAAACCUCACGGAGGAUGACCUGAGUACACAA